GGAAAAGUUAAAAUUAAAACACUAAAAUGACAAUGAGUCUGCUGAUAUAUCGAUCAUCUCUAAGAAUUUGUUGUCUGAACUUGUAGUGAUUAGAAGCAUGCAUCCAACACACAGCAGCAACACAACGCAGCACAACAGCCUUUCCAAAAGCCAUCGCCUCUAGACUUGGUUUCAGCCGGAACAGGGGCGGGUUGUUGAGAGAAAUCUCCGCCGUCUCUCAUCGGAUACCCCGCCGGGGGUGGGGCUGCAUAAGAGGUUGGCACGGUGGAG
Molecule: unclassified non-coding RNA, 270 nt
Filed under: Hevea brasiliensis (rubber tree)
Lineage: Eukaryota; Viridiplantae; Streptophyta; Magnoliopsida; Malpighiales; Euphorbiaceae
Source: RNAcentral